RNAcentral lists this ribosomal RNA (253 nucleotides) under uncultured bacterium. RNAcentral's name for it is "partial 16S ribosomal RNA". It matches the Rfam family "Bacterial small subunit ribosomal RNA", at positions 524 to 776 of the family's 1533-position model. The record is from RNAcentral.
UACGAAGGGGGCUAGCGUUGCUCGGAAUCACUGGGCGUAAAGCGCACGUAGGCGGAUCUUUAAGUCAGGGGUGAAAUCCUGGAGCUCAACUCCAGAACUGCCUUUGAUACUGAGGAUCUCGAGUCCGGGAGAGGUGAGUGGAACUGCGAGUGUAGAGGUGAAAUUCGUAGAUAUUCGCAAGAACACCAGUGGCGAAGGCGGCUCACUGGCCCGGUACUGACGCUGAGACGCGAAAGCGUGGGUAGCAAACAGG